AAAGUAUUUACAGCUGAAACUGAAUAUUAAAGGUGCUGAACAGGUUGAAUGUAGACCAAAUCACUGUAAAAGGCAGAAAGAGCUGAAACAGAGUUGAAGUGGCAGCUUAAACACAGACUGAAUGAAUUAGGUAAAAGUUCA
Molecule: long non-coding RNA, 141 nt
Organism: Melanotaenia boesemani (Boeseman's rainbowfish)
Lineage: Eukaryota; Metazoa; Chordata; Actinopteri; Atheriniformes; Melanotaeniidae
Exons: 3
Source: RefSeq, a predicted model, not a curated record